This 489-nucleotide ribosomal RNA is filed under the name uncultured bacterium. RNAcentral describes it as "bacterial SSU rRNA". It matches the Rfam family "Bacterial small subunit ribosomal RNA", at positions 30 to 507 of the family's 1533-position model. The record is from RNAcentral.
AUUGAACGCUGGCGGCAUGCCUAACACAUGCAAGCGAACGGUAACGCGGAGAGCUUGCUCUCUGGCGACGAGUGGCGGACGGGUGAGGUAAUACUUAGGAAUCUACCCAGUAGUGGGGGACAACAUUCGGAAACGGAUGCUAAUACCGCAUACGCACUACGGUGGAAAGUGGGGGAACCUUCGGGCCUCACGCUAUUGGAUGAGCCUAAGUCGGAUUAGCUUGUUGGUGAGGUAAUGGCUCACCAAGGCGACGAUCCGUAGCUGGUCUGAGAGGACGAUCAGCCACACUGGGACUGAGACACGGCCCAGACUCCUACGGGAGGCAGCAGUGGGGAAUAUUGGACAAUGGGCGCAAGCCUGAUCCAGCAAUGCCGCGUGUGUGAAGAAGGCCUGCGGGUUGUAAAGCACUUUCAGUAGAGAAGAAAAGCCUAGGGAUAAUACCCCUGAGUCUUGACGUAACCUACAGAAGAAGCACCGGCUAACUCCGUG